UGGGGAAUUUUGGACAAUGGGCGAAAGCCUGAUCCAGCAAUGCCGCGUGUGUGAAGAAGGCCUUCGGGUUGUAAAGCACUUUUGUCCGGAAAGAAAUCCUUGGCUCUAAUACAGUCGGGGGAUGACGGUACCGGAAGAAUAAGCACCGGCUAACUACGUGCCAGCAGCCGCGGUAAUACGUAGGGUGCAAGCGUUAAUCGGAAUUACUGGGCGUAAAGCGUGCGCAGGCGGUUUGCUAAGACCGAUGUGAAAUCCCCGGGCUCAACCUGGGAACUGCAUUGGGUGACUGGGCAGGCUAGAGUAUGGCAGAGGGGGGUAGAAUUCCACGUGUAGCAGUGAAAUGCGUAGAGAUGUGGAGGAAUACCGAUGGCGAAGGCAGCCCCCUGGGCCAAUACUGACGCUCAUGCACGAAAGCGUGGGGAGCAAACAGGAUUAGAUACCCUGGUAGUCCACGCCCUAAACGAUGUCAACUAGUUGUUGGGGAUUCAUUUCCUUAGUAACGUAGCUAACGCGUGAAGUUGACCGCCUGGGGAGUACGGUCGCAAGAUU
RNAcentral lists this ribosomal RNA (549 nucleotides) under uncultured bacterium. RNAcentral's name for it is "partial 16S ribosomal RNA". It matches the Rfam family "Bacterial small subunit ribosomal RNA", at positions 355 to 895 of the family's 1533-position model. The record is from RNAcentral.